GCAGAGAUUUCACCUCGUACCUUUUGCAUCAUGAUUCAGCAAGUUUUAUCAAGCAAAGAGAACUCUAGUUUGCAGCCCCGAAACUUGACGAGCUACUCCGAGACAGCCAAUUAUGGGCCAACCCGUCUCUGUGGCAAAAGAGUGGGAAGAUCUCCGAGUAGAGGCAAGAAACCUACCGAGCCAAGUUAUAGCUGGUUACCCAAUAAAUGAAUAAAAGUUCAGCCCCGCCUAGCCCGACUCAAGAUAGUCCUACGAAAGAAGAUAAAGAGCUUACCCGCGGGAGUUAAUCAGAGGAGGUACAGCUCCCCUGAUACAGGAUACAACCUUUUUAGGAGGUUAAAGAAUAUUUUUAAAAAGGCCUUAGGUCUCAGUGGGCCUGAAAGCAGCCAUCUGAUCAGAAAGCGUUAAAGCUCUGACCAUAAGAAAGCCUAUUAUCCUAUUUUAAUAUCUGACCCCCUAGACCUUAUUGGGUCCUUCCAUGCGGUCAUGGAAGAGAUUAUGCUGAAACGAGUAACAAGAAGAAUGAACUUCUCCCAGCACAAGUGUAUGUCAGAUUGGACUAACCACUGAUGAUUAACGAACCCAACAAAAGAGGGCCGAGCACACCCACCGCCUCUGGCCAAGAAAACCAUGCUAGUUAAUAUCGUUACCCCGACACAGGAGUGCUGUAACAAGGAAAGACUAAAAGAAAAAAAAGGAACUCGGCAAACCCAGACCUCGCCUGUUUACCAAAAACAUCGCCUCUUGCACCACGAAGUAUAAGA
RNAcentral lists this ribosomal RNA (764 nucleotides) under Amazonsprattus scintilla (Rio Negro pygmy anchovy). RNAcentral describes it as "partial 16S ribosomal RNA". It matches the Rfam family "Bacterial large subunit ribosomal RNA", at positions 585 to 1850 of the family's 2925-position model. The record is from RNAcentral. Lineage: Eukaryota; Metazoa; Chordata; Actinopteri; Clupeiformes; Engraulidae.